This is a long non-coding RNA of Vidua macroura (Pin-tailed whydah), 484 nucleotides long. RefSeq lists it as uncharacterized. The record is from RefSeq and is a predicted model, not a curated record. Lineage: Eukaryota; Metazoa; Chordata; Aves; Passeriformes; Viduidae. The transcript has 3 exons.
AGGUAGGACACUGAGUUUCGAGGAGAAGAUGUGACCUCAUUACCUACCUCCCAUAAUAUUGUUGUGUUUUACUUACAUGGGUACUUCUGGGAGUCUCUGAGAGACUCAGGCUUUCAGUCCAGCUGAAUAGAAGUGCAGCCCCAGUCGAGCAGUUCAGCUCAGCACAAAGAGCUAGACCACAAUGGGAAAUCCUCCUUUGUCAGUAAUCCCACAGCAUCUCUCUGCAAAGCUCUUUUCCUUACUGCCCAGGAAGGAAACAAAAUUGCGUUGUUUCAGAUAUGAAGCACUGACAACAGGAACAUAACGCUUUGCUUUUGGGGUCUGCUAGCCAGGCAUCGCUACAGGAUUUUUUAAGCCAUCCCUGAUGAAAACUCAAGCGUGACGCAGGCUUGGGAGUCUUUGUAACUUCAUCAGAACUUCUGCCGGGGAAAGUGUUUACAUCCGCGCUAAACGGAAUGAAUUUAUUUGGUCUUUUGAAAGGUCA